AUUAACGCUAGCGGCAGGCAUAAUACAUGCAAGUUGAACGGCAGCACAGGUAGCAAUACCGGGUGGCGAGUGGCGCACGGGUGCGUAACACGUAUGCAACCUACCCUAUACAGGCGAAUAACCUUUAGAAAUGAGGGCUAAUACGCCGUGGUAUUAUCUUGGGGCAUCUUGAGAUAAUUUAAAGAUUUAUCGGUAUAGGAUGGGCAUGCGUCCCAUUAGUUAGUUGGUAGGGUAACGGCCUACCAAGGCUAUGAUGGGUAGGGG
RNAcentral lists this ribosomal RNA (264 nucleotides) under uncultured bacterium. RNAcentral describes it as "partial 16S ribosomal RNA". It matches the Rfam family "Bacterial small subunit ribosomal RNA", at positions 29 to 289 of the family's 1533-position model. The record is from RNAcentral.